CCCAAUAAUGUAUCUAAUAUUGUCCGAUAAAGAUCUUUCAGAAGACGAGGAAAGAUGGGAACCAGCUUGCUGAUUUGAGGAAUGCCUUGCAAGCAUCACCACUUGGACUUGGACAAGUAUUUUCGAUGACAUUCAGCCUUGUUCAGGAUUUGGUUUACAGCUGAGCAAAAGAAGCUCCUUUAGUUUGUUUCCUGCUAAGAAAAAGUGUGAAAGGAGAAGAAUAUAAGGGAAGAAUAGAAAUGAUCCCAAUCAACCCCAAUUGAAGAAGGACACCCUAAAGAUGCAAUAGUCUUUGAGAAGUUGGGGGCUACAACUCAAGCACUUGAUCUUCUGGAAGUCAUGGAUGAGAUCACUGGGAAGAAGUAUGAGCCUCUGCCAGAUUUUUAAAGGUAAAAGUACUGUAUUUUUUGGAGUAUAAGAUGCACCGGAGUAUAAGAUGUACCUACCUUUUUUGGUGAGAAAAAAAAGAAAAAGAAAUCUCUUCCUGCCUCUGCCUUUGAGCAAUUUUGCCUUGUUGCAGCAAACAGUAAUCAGCCUGCUUUACUUCCAUUUUUGUUUUCAGCAUAGCUUGAUUAGCACAAGGGGGAAAAAAAAUCUGCUCCAGCAAUUUACCUCUUUGCAGCAAGCAGC
Molecule: non-coding RNA, 630 nt
Organism: Pantherophis guttatus
Lineage: Eukaryota; Metazoa; Chordata; Lepidosauria; Squamata; Colubridae
Source: RefSeq, a predicted model, not a curated record